This 485-nucleotide ribosomal RNA is filed under the name uncultured bacterium. RNAcentral describes it as "bacterial SSU rRNA". It matches the Rfam family "Bacterial small subunit ribosomal RNA", at positions 29 to 523 of the family's 1533-position model. The record is from RNAcentral.
AAUGAACGCUGGCGGCGCGCCUAAUACAUGCAAGUCGAGCGAGAAGACGUAGCAAUACGUUUGUAAAGCGGCGAACGGGUGAGGAAUACAUGGGUAACCUACCCUAGAGUGGGGAAUAACUAGCCGAAAGGUUAGCUAAUACCGCGUACGCUCCUUGGACUUCGGUUCAGGGAGGAAAGCGAUGCCGAGAGUAUCGCGCUCUUGGAUGGGCUCAUGUCCUAUCAGCUUGNGGUGAGGUAACGGCUCACCAAGGCUUCGACGGGUAGCUGGUCUGAGAGGACGAUCAGCCACACUGGCACUGCGACACGGGCCAGACUCCUACGGGAGGCAGCAGUAAGGAAUAUUGCGCAAUGGGCGAAAGCCUGACGCAGCGACGCCGCGUGGGGGAUGAAGGUCUUCGGAUUGUAAACUUCGAAAGAAUGGGAAGAAUAAAUGACGGUACCAUUUAUAAGGUCCGGCUAACUACGUGCCAGCCGCCGCCGUAA